GACAGUGGUGCCAAGCGUUAUCCGGAUUUAUUGGGUUUAAAGGGUGCGUAGGUGGUUCUUUAAGUCAGGGGUGAAAGACGGCAGCUUAACUGUCGCAGUGCCUUUGAUACUGAAGAACUUGAAUACACUAGAGGUAGGCGGAAUGUGACAAGUAGCGGUGAAAUGCAUAGAUAUGUCACAGAACACCAAUUGCGAAGGCAGCUUACUAUAGUGUCAUUGACACUGAGGCACGAAAGCGUGGGUAGCAAACAGG
This 253-nucleotide ribosomal RNA is filed under the name uncultured bacterium. RNAcentral describes it as "partial 16S ribosomal RNA". It matches the Rfam family "Bacterial small subunit ribosomal RNA", at positions 524 to 776 of the family's 1533-position model. The record is from RNAcentral.